CUCCAUGCCUGAAUGAUCCAUGCCUGGAAGCCAGGGAGCAGGGCUCUGGGGCAGACACUUCUGCCUUUAGGGGCCAGAAUAUUUACAACCACAUCCAAAAUAUUAACUGCAACUUACCAGCUUUCUAUUGCUCGAAUCUCCAUCCAUUUCCAUAGAGCUGCCAGAAUUCUUUCACUGCCCUCCUUGAUCACAGGACAAAAAUCUAUAGAGUCUAAGACUGCAUUUUAAGGUCUGUGCAUGUUUUAGCUCUUGCCAUGUUGACAGCUCAUUUCCUCCCCACAAAAGCCCCAGUCCUAUUUGAUUAGCUGACAUAGGAUUAACUGAUGGUCUAAGUCAGGAUACUGGACUUUUUCAUCUUUGCACAGGAAAAUCUCUGGAAUUCCUGCUAUCCUAUCACACACACACACACACACACACACACACGCAUACAGACCCCCUACCCCAGUCUUGGUAUCCAAUCACACACACACACACACACCCCAGUCUGCUAUCCCAUCACACACACACACACCCAGCCCACACAGCUUUCACCCUGGCAAACCCUCCUACUCCUCUAGUCCCCAUUCAAUAGUCACCUCCUCUUGAAAGCCUUCCUGGCUUGCUCAUGGUCCUCCUCUCCACGUAACAUCCCCUGUACAACACUGCAUUAUAACUGUUUCUCCUGUUCUCCUUCUUAGUCCCAGGGACUCCUCCAACACCCUUCUUCCUGACUCUAGGGUUUAGCACAUUGUCUGGCACACAAUAGGAACCCGAUAAACGCAGAAUAAAUACACGAGGCGCUCCAUAAAGCACUAAUUUCUCUGCCCUAGCUUGGCCAAGGAACCACUCUGAGUUUUGUUUUUUUUUUUCCCCCUCUCUGAGCUCUAAGAGACCUAGAAAUAAGAAAUGGCAUGAUGAAUCUGACCCCUGGCUCCGGGGGCAACAGGUCAGGAGGCGUCUGCAGAUCUAGGCAGAGCAGACGUCCGGCCUCUGCGGUCGCCAGUUCCCCGCAAGCUCUUCCCCGGGCCCAGUCGCUGGGUGGAGAUUCUCUUCGAAGCCACUAUCCGAAGCCCCUCUGGCUCCCCGGCCCCUCAGGCGUGCCCCGCACGCACACCUGUCCGUCCCAGGGUCGGCCCGGCGAGCUGGCAGCAGCACUCGAGGAGGAAGCUUGCCGCGCCGGCUCCUCCGCCCACUGUCGGGCCCCUCCGCGCGCCCGCAUCCCGCAGGCACAGAGCCGGAGCGCCUGGGAACGCAGCCUGGCGCCGGGACGCCACCAGCAGCCUCGGCGGGAGGUGGCGGGGACUCCCUGUUACCAGAAACCUCACAAAGUAUUAACUUCGCUGCGGGUUCUGCUUACCUUGCGAGCCGCCAGGAACCCGGAGCCGGGGGUGUGCCUUGGCCGCGACGCCCGCCUGCGGAUCCACUGGGGUCCCGGAGCUCAGCCUCCGCACCCCGUGGCGCGCGAGCGUCUCCCCUCGCCGCGGGGCCCCAUUGGCUCGGGCAGCCAGGCCCCGCCCACGGGAGGCUCCGCACAUUGGAGGCCCCGCCCCUCGCGCCCCUCGCGCCCCUCUUGCCUCCCGGCUACCCGGCUCUCGGCCCCUUCAAGUGGUGAGGUGCUUCUAGACUCAGCUCUCACCAAGCUCAGGCAACCGAGAAAGACACCUGUCUGCAUGGAGUCUGCAGACCUCUGUUUGGAAGGAGGAACCAGAGGAAACUACUGGAGAAAUACCAUGGCUGGGUUUGGUGUUUCAGGAUUAUCUUCCUGGCUUCUGUGUGCAGUGUAUUCAGAAGAUGAAAAACAUUACUGGUUACACAGUGCCAAGGCUAAAGGCUGAGUGCAGCGCUGAAGGAAAGUGGUGCCAGAGGCCAGUCGAGGGGACCCGUGGCCUGGGACAGCGAGAAGUGGACCACGUGAGAGGGAUGGAUGACAGGGUUGGAGAGCUGGAGAAAACAGGGAAAGACUUCAGGUAAGGG
Molecule: long non-coding RNA, 1953 nt
Filed under: Bos indicus x Bos taurus (hybrid cattle)
Lineage: Eukaryota; Metazoa; Chordata; Mammalia; Artiodactyla; Bovidae
Description: lncRNA (ENSBIXG00005023952.1)
Source: RNAcentral